This 835-nucleotide ribosomal RNA is filed under the name uncultured bacterium. RNAcentral describes it as "bacterial SSU rRNA". It matches the Rfam family "Bacterial small subunit ribosomal RNA", at positions 91 to 930 of the family's 1533-position model. The record is from RNAcentral.
ACGAGUGGCGGACGGGUGAGUAAUGCUUGGGAACUUGCCUUUGCGAGGGGGAUAACAGUUGGAAACGACUGCUAAUACCGCAUAAUGUCUACGGACCAAACGGGGCUUAGGCUCCGGCGCAAAGAGAGGCCCAAGUGAGAUUAGCUAGAUGGUGAGGUAAAGGCUCACCAUGGCAACGAUCUCUAGCUGUUCUGAGAGGAAGAUCAGCCACACUGGGACUGAGACACGGCCCAGACUCCUACGGGAGGCAGCAGUGGGGAAUAUUGCACAAUGGGGGAAACCCUGAUGCAGCCAUGCCGCGUGUGUGAAGAAGGCCUUCGGGUUGUAAAGCACUUUCAGUUGUGAGGAAAGGGUGUUGGUUAAUACCCAAUAUCUGUGACGUUAACAACAGAAGAAGCACCGGCUAACUCCGUGCCAGCAGCCGCGGUAAUACGGAGGGUGCGAGCGUUAAUCGGAAUUACUGGGCGUAAAGCGCACGCAGGCGGUUUGUUAAGCUAGAUGUGAAAGCCCCGGGCUCAACCUGGGACGGUCAUUUAGAACUGGCAGACUAGAGUCUUGGAGAGGGGAGUGGAAUUCCAGGUGUAGCGGUGAAAUGCGUAGAUAUCUGGAGGAACAUCAGUGGCGAAGGCGACUCCCUGGCCAAAGACUGACGCUCAUGUGCGAAAGUGUGGGUAGCGAACAGGAUUAGAUACCCUGGUAGUCCACACCGUAAACGCUGUCUACUAGCUGUGUGUGAAUUUAAUUCGUGCGUAGCGAAGCUAACGCGCUAAGUAGACCGCCUGGGGAGUACGGCCGCAGGUUAAAACUCAAUGAAUUGACGGGGGCCCGCACAAGC